Neopelma chrysocephalum (saffron-crested tyrant-manakin) is the source of this 122-nucleotide long non-coding RNA. RefSeq lists it as uncharacterized. The record is from RefSeq and is a predicted model, not a curated record. Lineage: Eukaryota; Metazoa; Chordata; Aves; Passeriformes; Pipridae. The transcript has 3 exons.
GAUAACAGUUUCUGGGAAAUGGCAUGGAAGGCUAUAGAAUACACAGUUUUGGGUUACACCCAUCCAGUGAUGAAUUGGUCUCAGCCAUUCUAACUAGGACAACUUGAAAAAAAAAUUCCCCC